Molecule: non-coding RNA, 234 nt
Filed under: Halobacillus sp.
Lineage: Bacteria; Bacillati; Bacillota; Bacilli; Caryophanales; Bacillaceae
Description: T-box sequence
Rfam family: T-box leader
About the family: Uncharged tRNA acts as the effector for transcription antitermination of genes in the T-box leader family. T-boxes are found upstream of many aminoacyl-tRNA synthetase genes and some amino acid biosynthetic genes usually in Gram-positive bacteria.
Source: RNAcentral
UGAAAUGCUUAGAUAGGGAAGAGUACAUGAACAAUUCCUAAAGAGAGGAAAACAUUCGGUGAGAGUUUUCCAGGAACCCUGUUGAUGGAAGGUCGCCCUUGAUGCAGCUUCUUUGAACCAAAGAGUAGGAGAAGCCGGUUAGAAGCCGUUAUGUCAGUCGAGUGUACAGGAAGAGUAUGUUGUUUUCCUGUAAAUGAAGGUGGUACCACGGAAUGAAUCCCCUCCGUCCUUUUU